This 1412-nucleotide ribosomal RNA is filed under the name uncultured bacterium. Its description in RNAcentral is "bacterial SSU rRNA". It matches the Rfam family "Bacterial small subunit ribosomal RNA". The record is from RNAcentral.
GAGUUUGAUCCUGGCUCAGGAUGAACGCUGGCGGCGUGCCUAAUACAUGCAAGUCGAACGAAGCGAUUUGGGAAAUUUAUUUUUCAGAUUGACUGAGUGGCGAACGGGUGAGUAAGACAUAAGUAAUCUGCCGUAAAGACUGGGAUAACUUUGAGAAAUUAAAGCUAAGACCGGAUAGGAAUUAUUGAGGCAUCUUAAUAAUUUUAAAGGGGCUUAUGGCCUUGUUAUACGAUGAGCUUAUGGCGCAUUAGCUAGUUGGUAAGGUAAUGGCUUACCAAGGCGAUGAUGCGUAGCCGGCCUGAGAGGGUGACCGGCCACACUGGGACUGAGACACGGCCCAGACUCCUACGGGAGGCAGCAGUAGGGAAUUUUCGGCAAUGGGGGCAACCCUGACCGAGCGACGCCGCGUGAGUGAAGACGGUCUUCGGAUUGUAAAGCUCUGUUAUCAGGGAAGAAUAAGGUUAUCAGGAAAUGGAUAAUCGAUGACGGUACCUGAUCAGAAAGCCACGGCUAACUACGUGCCAGCAGCCGCGGUAAUACGUAGGUGGCGAGCGUUAUCCGGAAUUAUUGGGCGUAAAGGGUGCGCAGGCGGAACGACAAGUCAGUGGUGAAAUCUCCUGGCUCAACCAGGAAACUGCCAUUGAUACUAUCGUUCUUGAGUCCAGUUGAAGUAGGCGGAAUGUAGCAUGUAGCGGUGAAAUGCUUAGAUAUGCUACAGAACACCGAUAGCGAAGGUAGCUUACUAAACUGAAACUGACGCUCAUGCACGAAAGCGUGGGGAUCAAACAGGAUUAGAUACCCUGGUAGUCCACGCCCUAAACGAUGAUCACUCGUCGUUGGCAACUAUAUCGUCAGCGACUAAGCGAAAGCAUUAAGUGAUCCACCUGGGGAGUACGAUCGCAAGGUUGAAACUCAAAGGAAUUGACGGGGGCCCGCACAAGCGGAGGAGCAUGUGGUUUAAUUCGAUGAUACGCGAGGAACCUUACCUGGGCUAGAACGCAGAACGACGUUUCGGGAAACCGGAAUUCUCUUCGGAGCGAUCUGCGAGGUGCUGCAUGGUUGUCGUCAGCUCGUGCCGUGAGGUGUCGGGUUAAGUCCCAUAACGAGCGCAACCCCUAUUCUUAGUUGCCAUCAGGUAAUGCUGGGGACUCUAAGAAAACAGCCUACGCAAGUAGUGAGGAAGGUGGGGAGGACGUCAAAUCAGCACGGCCCUUAUGUCCAGGGCUACACACGUGCUGCAAUGGCCGGUACAGAGGGCAGCCACCUGGUGACAGGGAGCAAAUCUCCAAAGCCGGUCUCAGUUCGGAUCGAAGUCUGCAACUCGACUUCGUGAAGUUGGAUUCGCUAGUAAUCGUAUAUCAGCCAUGCUACGGUGAAUACGUUCCCGGGCCUCGUACACACCGCCCGUCAAG